CAAAAACAUCGCCUCUUGCAAAAUUAAAGAAUAAGAGGUCCCGCCUGCCCUGUGACAAUACGUUUAACGGCCGCGGUAUUUUGACCGUGCGAAGGUAGCGCAAUCACUUGUCUCUUAAAUGGAGACCUGUAUGAAUGGCAUGACGAGGGCUUGACUGUCUCCUUUUCCCGGUCAAUGAAAUUGAUCCUCCCGUGCAGAAGCGGGAAUUAAAACAUAAGACGAGAAGACCCUAUGGAGCUUUAGAUACUAAAGUAGAUUAUGUUAAGAGACCCAACAAAGGACUGAACUAAGUAAUCCCUACCCUAAUAUCUUUGGUUGGGGCGACCGCGGGGUAACAUAAAACCCCCAUGUGGAAGGGGGACACCCAUCCCUAAAGCCGAGAGUGACCACUCUAAGCAACAGAACAUCUGACCAUUAAAGAUCCGGCAAGGCCGAUCAACGAACCGAGUUACCCUAGGGAUAACAGCGCAAUCCCCUUUUAGAGCCCAUAUCGACAAGGGGGUUUACGACCUCGAUGUUGGAUCAGGACAUCCUAAUGGUGCAGCCGCUAUUAAGGGUUCGUUUGUUCAACGAUUAAAGUCCUACGUGAUCU
This 592-nucleotide ribosomal RNA is filed under the name Bellottia galatheae. Its description in RNAcentral is "partial 16S ribosomal RNA". It matches the Rfam family "Bacterial large subunit ribosomal RNA", at positions 1808 to 2606 of the family's 2925-position model. The record is from RNAcentral. Lineage: Eukaryota; Metazoa; Chordata; Actinopteri; Ophidiiformes; Bythitidae.